RNAcentral lists this ribosomal RNA (301 nucleotides) under uncultured bacterium. RNAcentral's name for it is "partial 16S ribosomal RNA". It matches the Rfam family "Bacterial small subunit ribosomal RNA", at positions 509 to 809 of the family's 1533-position model. The record is from RNAcentral.
CAGCCGCCGCGGGAAUACAGAGGUCUCAAGCGUUGUUCGGAAUCACUGGGCGUAAAGGGUGCGUAGGUGGCGUGGUAAGUCAGAUGUGAAAGCCCGGGGCUCAACCUCGGAAUUGCAUCCGAUACUACCAUGCUAGAGUACUGAAGAGGUGACUAGAAUUCUCGGUGUAGCAGUGAAAUGCGUAGAUAUCGAGAGGAAUACCAAAGGCGAAGGCAGGUCACUGGGCAGUUACUGACACUGAGGCACGAAGGCUAGGGGAGCAAACGGGAUUAGAUACCCGCGUAGUCCCUGUCUCUUAUAA